UAGACCUCAAAUCAGUCAGGACUACCCGCUGAACUUAAGCAUAUCAAUAAGCGGAGGAAAAGAAACUAACAAGGAUUCCCCUAGUAACGGCGAGUGAAGUGGGAAAAGCUCAACUUUGAAAUCUGGCACUUUCAGUGUCCGAAUUGUAGUCUCAAGAAGUGUUUUCUGUGCUAGUCCGUGUAUGAGUCUGUUGGAACACAGCGUCAUAGAGGGUGACAACCCCGUUCAUGACACGGAUCCUAGUGCUUUGUGAUACACUCUCGAAGAGUCGAGUUGUUUGGGAAUGCAGCUCAAAUUGGGUGGUAAAUUCCAUCUAAAGCUAAAUAUUGGCGAGAGACCGAUAGCAAACAAGUACCGUGAGGGAAAGAUGAAAAGCACUUUGGAAAGAGAGUUAACAGUACGUGAAAUUGUUGAAAGGGAAACGAUUGAAGUCAGACGUGCGUGAUGCGGUUCAGCUCUGGUUCGCCAGAGUGUACUCCGUAUCUUUGCAGGCCAACAUCGGUUUUGUUAGUCGGAUAAAGGUUUGAGAAAUGUGGCACCUUCGGGUGUGUUAUAGUCUCAGACUGAAUACGAUUGAUGGGACCGAGGAACGCAGCGCGCCGCAAGGCAAAGGUUCCGACCUUUUCGCGCUUAGGAUGUUGGUGAAAUGGCUUUAAACGACCCGUCUUGAAACACG
RNAcentral lists this ribosomal RNA (676 nucleotides) under Cystobasidium minutum. RNAcentral describes it as "eukaryotic LSU rRNA". It matches the Rfam family "Eukaryotic large subunit ribosomal RNA", at positions 1 to 663 of the family's 3401-position model. Lineage: Eukaryota; Fungi; Basidiomycota; Cystobasidiomycetes; Cystobasidiales; Cystobasidiaceae. The record is from RNAcentral.